UCAGUAGCAGAUGAAGGCCCAGGAU
RNAcentral lists this unclassified non-coding RNA (25 nucleotides) under Mus musculus (house mouse). RNAcentral's name for it is "oocyte_clustered_small_RNA11374". The record is from RNAcentral. Lineage: Eukaryota; Metazoa; Chordata; Mammalia; Rodentia; Muridae.